UGUCAUAUGUGUGAUGACACUUUCUAAAGUCUUCCAGAAUGACACCACAUAUAUGGCAGC
RNAcentral lists this microRNA precursor (60 nucleotides) under Mus musculus (house mouse). RNAcentral describes it as "Mmu-Mir-489_pre stem-loop". The record is from RNAcentral. Lineage: Eukaryota; Metazoa; Chordata; Mammalia; Rodentia; Muridae.